AUCCUAAACCCAGUCUCACCUCCACAUCAGAGAAAAGAAAGCAACCAUCCACCCCCGCCUUCUCCAUUGCCGAACUACUUUCGGUGGACCAGAAGCUGUGGUCCUUGUCGCAUUUCAUAGAACCCUCAUGUCACUGCCGGACUAGCCUCAUCCUAGAUUCCUACUUCUCUACAUCACCCAGUUCUGCAGUUGCCAGCAUCGCUCAUGACGGUGGUUGCCUCAUCUCUGCUCGUGGUCGAUGGUUCAUGUCGCCGUCGCUACGUUAUCAUCCCGUAGUUGUCUUGGUUGCGGCAAGACUUUGAAGGUUUGAAAUUGCAUCUUAUCAAUUCUCAAGACUCAAUUCAACUGAAAAUGGUUCAUUAGUUUCAAAAAUUGAGGAUGAAUGCUUCGAUUGGAAAGCUAUUAGAACAAUUGAACAUCUAAAGAAAAAUAGUGAGGUAUAAAAUUAAAAUUGUUAUUGAAGAUGGUACUUCUCCCUGUGUGUUUGUUUUGGUGGAUAGUGCUACCACGAAACUAUUUGAAAAGACUUGCUCUGAAGCUUUCUUGCAGAUUGAAGAAAAGCUUUUUUUUUAUUCUAAUGUUAUUUUUCUGGUACAUGUAACAAACAUAAUGUUUGGAUUACAAGUUUUCCCUUUUUACUUAGAAUCAAAUUCAUUCCUAUU
Long non-coding RNA from Arachis stenosperma, 662 nucleotides. RefSeq lists it as uncharacterized. NCBI's taxonomy places the organism in Eukaryota, Viridiplantae, Streptophyta, Magnoliopsida, Fabales, Fabaceae. The record is from RefSeq and is a predicted model, not a curated record. The transcript has 3 exons.